ACCCCGGUAUUAUUGCUGUUAUGGGUUUGAAUCGAGCUUAGCCUUGUUCAUUUUUUUACACAACACCCCCGUAAAAAAUACAAUACGCCCCGCUCAAGCCUGCGGGCGGCAAGGUUUUUAAAAGGGCAAAGACGCCCUGAAAAGCGUCAAAAAUGGCCUUUAAGCCCUUUUUCAGGGCAA
Non-coding RNA from Pseudomonas sp. Lz4W, 180 nucleotides. The record is from Rfam. Lineage: Bacteria; Pseudomonadati; Pseudomonadota; Gammaproteobacteria; Pseudomonadales; Pseudomonadaceae.